GACAGAGGAUGCAAGCGUUAUCCGGAAUGAUUGGGCGUAAAGCGUCUGUAGGUGGCUUUUCAAGUCCGCCGUCAAAUCCCAGGGCUCAACCCUGGACAGGCGGUGGAAACUGCCAAGCUGGAGUACGGUAGGGGCAGAGGGAAUUUCCGGUGGAGCGGUGAAAUGCGUAGAGAUCGGAAGGAACACCGGUGGCGAAAGCGGCGCGCUGGACCUCUACUGACGCUGAGGCGCGAAAGCCAGGGGAGCAAACGGG
This 253-nucleotide ribosomal RNA is filed under the name uncultured bacterium. Its description in RNAcentral is "partial 16S ribosomal RNA". It matches the Rfam family "Bacterial small subunit ribosomal RNA", at positions 524 to 776 of the family's 1533-position model. The record is from RNAcentral.